Molecule: ribosomal RNA, 484 nt
Filed under: uncultured bacterium
Lineage: Bacteria
Description: partial 16S ribosomal RNA
Rfam family: Bacterial small subunit ribosomal RNA
Source: RNAcentral
AUUGACCGCUUUCUUCCUUCCUAACACAUGCAAGUCGAGCGGAUGAAGGGAGCUUGCUCCUGGAUUCAGCGGCGGACGGGUGAGUAAUGCCUAGGAAUCUGCCUGGUAGUGGGGGAUAACGUCCGGAAACGGGCGCUAAUACCGCAUACGUCCUGAGGGAGAAAGUGGGGGAUCUUCGGACCUCACGCUAUCAGAUGAGCCUAGGUCGGAUUAGCUAGUUGGUGGGGUAAAGGCCUACCAAGGCGACGAUCCGUAACUGGUCUGAGAGGAUGAUCAGUCACACUGGAACUGAGACACGGUCCAGACUCCUACGGGAGGCAGCAGUGGGGAAUAUUGGACAAUGGGCGAAAGCCUGAUCCAGCUAUGCCGCGUGUGUGAAGAAGGUCUUCGGAUUGUAAAGCACUUUAAGUUGGGAGGAAGGGCAGUAAGUUAAUACCUUGCUGUUUUGACGUUACCAACAGAAUAAGCAACGGCUAACUUCGUG